UAUGCUUGUUAAUUAGACUGUAUUUAAUUUGACUUAACAUUUGUGUCAGUUUGGUGAAAGUGAGACUUUGUAAUUAGGGAGUACAGACGGGGUUUCUGUCACAAUUCUACUCACUUACCCUAAUUUAAUGCCCCCUUUUCCAGUGUAUUGUCACACUUGGUGUGCUGAGUUCCCCCGCUGUCUUUUAUGCUUGACUAGUAACAAGGUGGCCCACAUUAUACAACCACCAGCAAAUGGACUCUGUCUCCUGGACUUAACAGCCUGAAGUUUCUGCCAGAUUCACCCAUCAGAAAUAAUUUCUUAUUUAAAGCAAAUGUCAACAAUUCUCUAUUGAAGCUAAUAUCGUGAACUUACAAAUGGAUGAAGAUAAACUGAGGCACAGAAGAUUAAGUAAUUUUUCCAAAGAUUCAGAAAUAGAAAAUGACAGAACUUGGCUCCUUAACCACUAUAUAUAUUCUGACUACCUCCAACAAAUUGGAAGAUGGUGGCUUUUAGGGAACAAAGUUCGUCAUCCUGAUACACCAGGUCUUUAAUGAUGUCAAUAAAGGAACAGCCCACCCUUUGGUUAAAAGACUCUGAGCCUUCAAGGACCACUGGUUGUCCAGAGGAAGCCAUGGUUAUUCUGGUGAAGCACGAGGCCACGGUUGUUUUGAUCAGUCACUCAAUGGAGGGUCCAAAGCUUAAGCAGAAUAAACUCAGGACAGACAGCACUGGAACUCUAGGAGUGUAACCUCACCAGCAGAUGAGAUUUGCUUUCACUGAUCUUUGACACCUGCCUGAGGUGCUACAAAUCUGCAUGUUUGUUUAAACUCCAACCAAACGCACUCCUGUUUAAGUUGGAAUAUCAUCACCAGGAUGUCUGGAAAUCCUUC
Physeter macrocephalus (sperm whale) is the source of this 872-nucleotide long non-coding RNA. RefSeq lists it as uncharacterized. The transcript has 4 exons. The record is from RefSeq and is a predicted model, not a curated record. NCBI's taxonomy places the organism in Eukaryota, Metazoa, Chordata, Mammalia, Artiodactyla, Physeteridae.